GACGAACGCUGGCGGCGUGCUUAACACAUGCAAGUCGAACGGAAAGGCCCUGCUUUUGUGGGGUGCUCGAGUGGCGAACGGGUGAGUAACACGUGAGUAACCUGCCCUUGACUUUGGGAUAACUUCAGGAAACUGGGGCUAAUACCUGAUAGGAUCUCCUGCUGCAUGGUGUGGGUUUGAAAGUUUCGGCGGUUGGGGAUGGACUCGCGGCUUAUCAGCUUGUUGGUGGGGUAGUUGCUUACCAAGGCUUUGACGGGUAGACGGCAUGAGAGGGUGACCGGCAACAUUGGGAAUGAGAUACGGACCAGACUCCUACGGGAGGCAGCAGUGGGGAAUAUUGCAAAAUGGGAGGAAGCAUGAUGCAGAAACGCCGCGUGCGGGAUGACGGCCUUCGGGUUGUAAACCGCUUUCGCCUGUGACGAAGCGUGAGUGACGGUAAUGGGUAAAGAAGCACCGGCUAACUACGUG
RNAcentral lists this ribosomal RNA (468 nucleotides) under uncultured bacterium. Its description in RNAcentral is "partial 16S ribosomal RNA". It matches the Rfam family "Bacterial small subunit ribosomal RNA", at positions 28 to 507 of the family's 1533-position model. The record is from RNAcentral.